CUGCAUGGUAUUGGUACAGAGA
RNAcentral lists this non-coding RNA (22 nucleotides) under Mus musculus (house mouse). The record is from RNAcentral. Lineage: Eukaryota; Metazoa; Chordata; Mammalia; Rodentia; Muridae.